This 122-nucleotide small nuclear RNA is filed under the name Rhipicephalus sanguineus (brown dog tick). RNAcentral's name for it is "U5 spliceosomal RNA". It matches the Rfam family "U5 spliceosomal RNA". From Rfam's summary of the family: U5 RNA is a component of both types of known spliceosome. The precise function of this molecule is unknown, though it is known that the 5' loop is required for splice site selection and p220 binding, and that both the 3' stem-loop and the Sm site are important for Sm protein binding and cap methylation. Lineage: Eukaryota; Metazoa; Arthropoda; Arachnida; Ixodida; Ixodidae. The record is from RNAcentral.
UCGCUCAGGUCUCUCCUCAUGAGUUCGAACUAAUCUUUCGCCUUUUACUAAAGAUUACCGUGGGGAGGGGCACUCCAAUGAGCCUAUAGGCCAAUUUUUGGGAGGCCUUGUCCGUUUGGGCG